This 1023-nucleotide long non-coding RNA is filed under the name Anas zonorhyncha (Eastern spot-billed duck). RNAcentral's name for it is "lncRNA (ENSAZOG00000013765.1)". The record is from RNAcentral. Lineage: Eukaryota; Metazoa; Chordata; Aves; Anseriformes; Anatidae.
UAAAUAUCCAGUGCAAGCAAACAGGAAUGCUGCUUAUUCACAAAGCAUCUCGAAGAGGCCUGUUCAUUUGCUCAUUGUUGACUGUAGACUGAAAAAUCCCAUAGCAUAAUUUAGCAUAACUUCUUCCAAAUUGAUUAGUUUACAUACUGAGCAGCAGAACUCAGUAAACUGUAUUAACAAUAACAUACAACAAGACAGUAUGAUCAGUAGCUUGAUUUUAUUUUGUUUUCAGUUCAAGUGGCACAACAUCUCUCUGCAGCCAUAACGGCUCUCCUUUUUUUUUUUUUUUUUUUUUUUCCAGGAACUACUUAGUUAGGCAGUGUUUUGGAAAACAGUAUUGCUUCUCUUCUGCUGAAAGGAAAAAGGUUGCAACAUUGCAUGGCAGAUAAUGCAUGACCCAUGAUAACAAAUCAAUGAAAUAUUUCUAAGAAUUCUGCUUGUGCUGUUUUCUAUCUCUACCACUUAGUGAAAGUAAGAAACUUUCUGGAAGGUAGUGCCUUAGGGUCACAGAAGAAAGAAAGAAAUGUUCUUAAAAGACUUUACUAGGAAUUGCCCUGCAAUUGUGUCCUGCUGUAACCCUUUGGUCUCUGUCUGCUCCUGACCCUGGCUGCUCAGAGGAAGGCUUGCUGGACUGGCUGCACUGCAGAGCACAAACUGGCCUCUACUUCAGUCCCGUGACUCAGAAGAGAAAUGUGUCCUUGACAAGCUGCUGGCCACAGUGGGGGCUCCUGCAUAUGUCUGCUUUGCAAGAAGAUUUUGACCGGAGCCGUGGCUUGAGGUAAGGAGCAAGCGCUGCUGCCUUAGGCUUGUGCUGGGCAUUGGAAACUUGACUUGGAAACUUGACUGCAACUUGACGACAGAAAGCUGUGACUUUCAGCCUGGUUUAAUAGGGUGGAAAAAUGGCUAUUGUUUCUGAGAUUUCAUUUUCUCUGUAUUAUCCCUUAUACUUUUAAAGCACUCUUUCUCAACUAAUUUAUAGGACAGAUAAUUUAAUCUGAGAGCUGAGUAAAUGUGCUGUAAUAC